CCUACGGGUGACAGCAGUGAGGAAUAUUGGGCAAUGGACGAGAGUCUGAAGCAGCCAAGUAGCGUGAAGGAUGAAUGCCCUAGGGGUUGUAAACUUCUUUUAUAUGGGAAUAAAAUGUUGCUCGUGGGGGAUUUUGUAUGUCCUAUAUGCAUAAGGAUCGGCUCACUCCGUGCCAGCAGCCGCGGUAAUACGGAGGGUCCGAGCGUUAUCCGGAUUUAUUGGGUUUAAAGGGAGCGUAGGUGGAGUGUUAAGUCAGUUGUGAAAGUUUGCGGCUCAACCGUCAAAUUGCAGUUGAAACUGGCAGUCUUGAGUACAGUAGAGGUGGGCGGAAUUCGUAGUGUAGCGGUGAAAUGCUUAGAUAUCACGAAGAACUCCGAUUGCGAAGGCAGCUCACUGGACUGCAACUGACACUGAGGCUCGAAAGUGUGGGUAUCAAACAGGAUUAGAUACCCCGGUAGUC
RNAcentral lists this ribosomal RNA (460 nucleotides) under uncultured bacterium. RNAcentral describes it as "partial 16S ribosomal RNA". It matches the Rfam family "Bacterial small subunit ribosomal RNA", at positions 338 to 795 of the family's 1533-position model. The record is from RNAcentral.